CAAUCUCGGGCUUGGUUAGUACUUGGAUGGGUGACCGCUUGGGAAUACCAAGUGUGAUAAGCA
Molecule: non-coding RNA, 63 nt
Organism: Ciona savignyi (Pacific transparent sea squirt)
Lineage: Eukaryota; Metazoa; Chordata; Ascidiacea; Phlebobranchia; Cionidae
Source: Rfam